GAUGAAGAACGUAGUGAAAUGCGAUAAGUAAUGUGAAUUGCAGAAUUCAGUGAAUCAUCGAAUCUUUGAACGCACCUUGCGCCCUUUAGCCAUUCCGAAGGGCAUGCCUGUUUGAGUAUCAUGAACACCUCAACUCUUUAUGGUUUUCCAUGAUGAGCUUGGACUCUGGGGGUUUUGCUGGCUCACAGUCGGCUCCUCUAAAAUGAAUCAGCUUACCAGUGUUUGGUGGGUAUCAUGGGUGUGAUAACUAUCUACGCUUGUGGUUUUUCCACCAGGUAACCUUCAGCAGUGGAGGUUCGCUGGAGCUCAUAGAUGUCUCUCCUCAGUGAGGACAGCCCUUUGAAUGUUUGAUCUCAAAUCAGGUAGGACUACCCGCUGAACUUAAGCAUAUCAAUAAGCGGAGGA
RNAcentral lists this unclassified non-coding RNA (405 nucleotides) under soil metagenome. Its description in RNAcentral is "partial contains 5.8S ribosomal RNA, internal transcribed spacer 2, and large subunit ribosomal RNA". The stretch from base 1 to 121 matches the Rfam family "5.8S ribosomal RNA", at positions 35 to 154 of the family's 154-position model. The record is from RNAcentral.